UAUUUGCCGUUCUCGGGAUAUUAUAAAAUGUUCAAGUGGAUUGCAUUCAUUAGCUUGAAUCUCUUCGUUCGAGUAACAGUUACUAUAAUAUCAUUCAAAAUGAACUUCGCCAAGAUUUUCUUCUUCAUAUUCGCUUGCAUAGUUUUGACUACAGUUUCCGGCGCUCCGAGUCCUAAAUGGAAGCUCUUCAAAAGAAUUGAAAAAAUCGGUAGAAACGUUCGGAAUGGUCUCAUCAAGGCAGGCCCUGCGAUUCAAGUUGUCGGCCAAGCCACUGCCAUCGCCAAGGGAUAAGCGACCUUAUCGCUUGAGCCAUGGCAACAAAAAUAGCUCAAUUCUUUUCUCUUCAAACCGUUUCAUAAAAUCUUCUAGUCGUAAGAUUAAAAUGUAUUAUUAAGUUACAAUAAACAUUAUUUAUUAUUUUUA
Molecule: long non-coding RNA, 423 nt
Organism: Nymphalis io (European peacock)
Lineage: Eukaryota; Metazoa; Arthropoda; Insecta; Lepidoptera; Nymphalidae
Exons: 2
Source: RefSeq, a predicted model, not a curated record